UAUAGAAACAUUUGCUCAUGUGAAAUUAGUAAAGAGACUUAGUCAACACCCUUUUCCUAUGAAAUCCAGUGAAAUUAGAACAUACUUGUCUUUUAAAAAUAUAAGAAAUGUAGAGACAUAUUCUCUUACUUAUAGUUAAUUACUUUUCCAAAUAGCUUUCCAGGAUGAUUGUGGCUUGUCAAGAAAUUCCAUACUUAGCUUGACUGUUUUUGAAUUAAAUUAAGACUAUGUUAAGUAUUAACUCAAAAGUUUAAAGAGUACAUUAUUGUUCUGUAAUAUAAAAUUUAAUACACUGAUGGUAGCAAUCAUCAGUUUCCAGGCAAUAUUAACCACAGGAUGGGUAAAUAUGUCUGUUUCAAUUACUACACACAGAUCACUCCCUUAAAUCUCUCGAGAUCUAUCUUCCACAAAGAGAAGUAAAUUAACAAUAUUAACUCCAGACGGCUUAAUGCCAGCAAUCUCAAGUGCUUGAAUUUUUACAGAAAAAAACAAACUGAAAAUAAAAAAGGAUAAAUAAAUUACAUUUUUUUAAAUGAGUAAAAUAAAAUUCUUCAAGCCAGACACUUGUUUUUAAUAGACUUACAGAGAUGAUUCCCAGAAAUCAUAUAAUACAUCUUUCUGCCUCUGGGAAUAAUUACCCUUAAGUCUUCUGAAAUAUAGGUUAUCAGUUUGGUUUUAUAAAAAGUUCGAGAAUAGUUUAAAGCUACCAUUUCAUAUCCUG
This 721-nucleotide long non-coding RNA is filed under the name Bos taurus (domestic cattle). Its description in RNAcentral is "long non-coding RNA NONBTAT020543". The record is from RNAcentral. Lineage: Eukaryota; Metazoa; Chordata; Mammalia; Artiodactyla; Bovidae.